AGCGGCGGACGGGUGAGUAACGCGUGGGUAACCUGCCCCAUACAAAGGGAUAGCCACUGGAAACGGUGAUUAAUACCUUAUAAGUCGGUAGUCUCGCAUGAGACAGCCGACAAAGAUUUAUCGGUAUGGGAUGGACCCGCGUCUGAUUAGCUAGUUGGUGAGGUAACGGCUCACCAAGGCGACGAUCAGUAGCCGACCUGAGAGGGUGAUCGGCCACACUGGAACUGAGACACGGUCCAGACUCCUACGGGAGGCAGCAGUGGGGAAUAUUGCACAAUGGGCGCAAGCCUGAUGCAGCAACGCCGCGUGAGUGAUGAAGGCCUUCGGGUCGUAAAACUCUGUCCUAUGGGAAGAAAAAAAUGACGGUACCAUAGGAGGAAGCCCCGGCUAACUACGUGCCAGCAGCCGCGGUAAUACGUAGGGUGCGAGCGUUAAUCGGAAUUACUGGGCGUAAAGCGUGCGCAGGCGGUUUUUUAAGAUAGGCGUGAAAUCCCCGGGCUCAACCUGGGAACUGCGCUUAUGACUGGAAGACUAGAGUAUGGCAGAGGGGGGUGGAAUUCCACGUGUAGCAGUGAAAUGCGUAGAGAUGUGGAGGAACACCGAUGGCGAAGGCAGCCCCCUGGGCCAAUACUGACGCUCAUGCACGAAAGCGUGGGGAGCAAACAGGAUUAGAUACCCUGGUAGUCCACGCCCUAAACGAUGUCAACUAGGUGUUGGGUGGGUAAAACCAUUUAGUACCGGAGCUAACGCGUGAAGUUGACCGCCUGGGGAGUACGGCCGCAAGGUUAAAACUCAAAGGAAUUGACGGGGACCCGCACAAGCGGUGGAUGAUGUGGAUUAAUUCGAUGCAACGCG
Molecule: ribosomal RNA, 855 nt
Filed under: uncultured bacterium
Lineage: Bacteria
Description: bacterial SSU rRNA
Rfam family: Bacterial small subunit ribosomal RNA
Source: RNAcentral